Long non-coding RNA from Struthio camelus australis, 2166 nucleotides. Lineage: Eukaryota; Metazoa; Chordata; Aves; Struthioniformes; Struthionidae. The record is from Ensembl.
AUUGAGUUAUAAGCACAUAGAAUUUCUCAGAAGAAAGAUAUCUUGUUCUGUGCAAAUAUUUACCUAUUCUGACUAUAGAGUAUGUAGUAUUAAGGCUAGCCCUGAGACAGUGGUGGUUAAAGAUAUAUUUUUGUUUGACUUGUGUAAAUCAUUUUUAAGGUCUAGCUACAAAAAGAAGAUUUGAUCUCAGUGCUUAUCACAUGCAAAUUCUUUUCUUUGCUUUCCAGUUUUUAAAAAGCAUAAUAAGAAAGCACUUGGAAAAACCAAAAGGAGAGAGGCCUCGUAUAACAGGUAGACACGUUGCAGGUGGAGCACCAUAACUGCAAGGAAACUCAGCGACAUGAAGGCAAAAAACUCCUAGCAUGGAACAAGGCAGGCAAAUGCAACCACUAUCCCAACACAUGACACAGCACAGCAUUGGUCAGAUCAGAGAACGGAGACGAUUUGACUUGGACAUAAUGGCAGUUCAGAAAAAGAUCAUUGAUGGGAGAUUUGGAGAGAGUUACAGACGACUGAGAAUCAUUCAGAUUUUAUUCAGGAAAAUUUGAAAUUCAUUUUAAUUUUAUUUAAUUUCUCUUAAUGUCACCCUAGACGAGAUCGAUGUGAUCCACUCAUCCUCCUUUCUUCCCUUCUCCUCUUAUGCAUCAUCAGGACAAUAACAAUUUCUCUUUCAUAGCCGUUUAGAGGAAAAACAGCUUGAUUCACAUGUGUGUGGGUGAAGGGAACAACAAGUCAGAGAUGAUUUUUGUACUGGGCCAUGAGUUCUGAGGUCUGCAGUUUCUGUUACUUUUUGUCACCAGGACAUGAAAUCUGAAGUUUUGAUCUGACUUCUGUGAAAGCUCUGUGUCCUUUACUCCACGUUCCCCCCUUCUCUUCAGCACUUUCACGAUUCCAGUGCAAUAGAGGUUAUCAUGACAGGUCACAGCCAUGCAGAGGGAGGUGAUCCCAUAGGCAGAGAAGCAGAGGUCUCAUAUCACACUGAGAGGUAUAAAUAGCAAGAUGGAGACCUUGAAGUGGAUAAAUGGGGUAAUUUGCUUUGCUAAACAGACAUUCUGUCAUAUUUUCAACCAUGUGGAGCUUUUUCAGGGCAUGCAGCUUAAUUUCUGGAUCUGAGUUGCAGUAAUGCAGCCUGGAGGUCACUAAUGCAAGGAUAUCUGUAUGGUAUGAUUACUGUGCAGAUUGCCAUAUAGCUAUAACUCCAAGGGAAAGGAGGAGCAACAUGGCUAUUCGGAUAUCUAGCAGCAUCAAGGAAUCCAAAGGGAUCUAACAGCUAUAGAUCAAUUUUUCUUAGAUAUUUAUGUGCCAACUUGAAGGAACAGAACUUUUAAAAAAAUAUUGUGUUAAACUCUUUUACUUACUAUUAUUCUAAGUAGUACCUAAAGCUAUGAGAGAAAUAGUGAACAGAGAAAAGUAUUUGUCCUCAAUUUCUUCAGGUUAUUUUUUGUACACUUGACAGGAUUUUGUGUGCCAUCUAUUUUUGUUUUUCUCCUGUCUAACAUGUUAGCAAGUACACUCUCAUUUUGAUUGUGUUGGCCUUAGACGCAAAGCAAUAUGAGGAAGAAAAUAUUCUUUUCUGUUUGUUUGUUUUCUAUUGGAAAAAUGUAAUUCCCCAAGUCAUAAACAUUACCAAGAAAAUUCAGUUAUUAGCACUAAAGAUAUGUUUUAAAGACACUUAUGAACAUCAUAGUGGUUGGGCUACAUUCCAAAGUUAACAAUGUCCCUUCAUAAUUUGCUUUCAAAAAGUAAGUAAAGCACGGUAAGAUUUGUGAAACCUGUCCUGAAGUCUUGUAGGAGGUGGGCACCAGCUAUCUGAGGCAGCAAAUAGCCUUCCACACAACCCAGUGUUUAUGGCUGUUCAUUAUAUUGUGUGAGGGGAGGGUAGAAGGGGGAAUUCAUUAAUUGUGUGUAAGAAUGCAGUGGGGAUACAUAUGACUCAUAGAGUCCCAUUCAGUGCAGCUGGGAAUCUCUAUCAGGAUGUUUUGACUCAUUACCCUGGGCCUUCAUCAGCUGAUGGAACUAAUUUUUUUUCAUCAGCUGAUUAAGAUUCAAGAUAAUGAGUCAAAAUAUUCCAGUACUAAUUCCCAAUAGGAGGGGAGAGAGGAUGUUAACUUCUACACACACAUGCACAUGUACACAGAAGAAAUAAAAAGAAGCAUAGUCUCUCCA